UUUUUUUUCUUUUGAGAGAAGAUGAAAAGUUUGAUGAUGUGGAACUUGGAAAUUUUUGGUGCUGUCUCACCACAAGCCCACAGCAGAGAUAGAUGAUCAUGGACCAGAACCUGGAAACUGGAAGUCAGUGUCAGCUUGCAGGCCCUUGUUUCCUCUGUGGGCACAUGGAGCCUUCUGUCAUGUAAUUAUCCUGUGUGAGGAGAAGCAGCCCAGGGAAGAGGAGAGACAAGAUCUUGCCCCAGAAGGCUUCCAUCCCUGUCAGAAAGAAAGACUUCCUUUGAAGGCCCUCAAAGGCCCUUGAUUAACUGGCCCUUGAGGUACACUGGCCUGAGCCUCCCCUGAGAACUGCUGGAGAGGCUGAGAAAGUGCAGAUAUGAUGGGUAGCUUGUGAUAUGGGGCUUUGGUGACAAGGAAGGGGACCAUAGGACAACCCACAGUGUUGGUUGUACAUUAUUAUAUGAAAGAAAUGAAAUUACAAGCUGUAUCAUUGGUUAGCACGUCCGGUCUUCAAGCAUUGUGUUGUUUAGGGUUAGGAAUUGAUUGUAAUCUCAAUCUAAGAAAAUCUUUUUUGCCUUUGGUACUGGGGAUGGAAUCCAGGAAUCACUGACCUACAUUCCCUGCUCCACCCCCUUUUUAAUUUUGUUCUGA
Molecule: long non-coding RNA, 648 nt
Organism: Octodon degus (degu)
Lineage: Eukaryota; Metazoa; Chordata; Mammalia; Rodentia; Octodontidae
Exons: 3
Source: RefSeq, a predicted model, not a curated record